AAUUUAUUUAUUUGCUCUUUCUGUAUGUUGGUAACUAGCUAGUAGUUGGUAGUUUUGACGUUGCACUACUUCUUUCCAAGUUUUCAAUGUUAAUCUACUUUUACAAACUUUUGUGCUAUAGAUAAAUAGGACUCUUUGCUCAUUUUUCGACACGUAAUUGAUACUUCCCACGUAUCUCUAUCUGUCUCUUCUAUCACAUCACAUUAUCAAUAAUGUCAAUUACUUAUCUCUCUUCUUCCAAUUUCCAUUGUUACUACUAUAUGCUGAAAUGGGAUACUUUGGGCUGUUCAGUUUUUGAAUUGUUAUCCUAUAAUAGAUAAAUGCAACAGAAGGCAGUUAACCAGAAUUCAAUAAUAACUUUGAUGUUAAUAGUUUGUUGAUGUAUCACUUGAUAUUGGCUCUAAAUGUUUUAUUAUUUUUUUAUGGGCAAUGGGCCAUGAUUGUCCUCAAUUAAGGCAAAUGCAGGUUUGGUUGCCUAACAUUAGCCAAUAUGAAAUCAUUUGUGUUCCCAUGGAAGUGUAAAGUUAAGCCCCAUAUAAAAGCAAAGCACUCUUUAAUGUAUGUAUCUAUGAUAUAAAAUAUUGAAUUCCAUUUUUUUGUUAAGUUUACACUAGAUAUGAUCAUGUGCCUACAUUUUACAUUACAAAGAAUAAGAUGAUCACAUGCAUGCUUAUGUCCAUUGCCAAAAUAUGAUGACGGAAAAUUGUCCUCAAGGGUGAGCCUUCAGUGGGAUUAAGAGUGGAAAUCCAGAGAAAAAUGGAAUGAGAAACUGAGAGAAAAAAGGUGACUUCACGAUACCCACACUCCCCCUAGCAGGACUCCUUAAAUCCCCUCUACUCCUAACAAUCCAAUCCUACGUGACAUGACCAACUCUUUUCUUUCCAUUAUUUCUCCGCCCCCUCAGAAGUCAGAACAUACACUUUCAGUGGUCUUGGGCCUCUAUCAUAAACUAAGCUCAUUAUCAUUCCCCUAAAUAUUCUCAUCAAUACUCACUUGCCACUGAACAGCCUUAUCCCCAAUGCCGAAGUAAAGGAAUUGCCUUUGGAUGACUGAGGAAGCCUCUCUCAUUGCCUCUGUAGUGGUUGCUAUCAAAACAUUGGGAAUCUAUCGAAUUCCGUUAGUAUUGGUGCGGGAACAAAGGAAUUCUAGUACACGAUGGUGACCUUGUAAUUCCAAAUUAAACAGCAAGUGGGAAAUAGUCACCUGAACCCCAACAGCCCUUUUGAUCUACAAAACAUGGAAAAUAGGAUGCACAGGGGGAUCCUUCAGGCAAUUGCAACUCGUGGGCUACUGAACUAACCUUGUUUUUAGUCUGAAAAGGUCCAUAAUACCUAGCAGAAGCACUUUCUUGUGGAUACUAAAUACUGUCUACGGGGGCUUAGUUUGAGAUACACCUAAUCUCCCUCCGCAAAACUGAUGUCUCACUAAUGUUUAUUAGCAGCCAUACACAUUCAGUUCUGAGGCCUUUGUAAAUUGUGUUUGAGCUGCUGAAGAUGGACCCUCAUCUUUCUGUCUUGAAGAUCAUUGGCUACAGAUUCAACCAAACAUUUCCCAGGUACAAGCAGUGGUCAGAGACACCAGGGCCAGAGAUCACAAGCUAUGAGUACUGUCACCCACGGAAAGUCUAUUGCCACCAUAGGGAAUUUGAAGAGUGACCCUGAUCAUCUCCUUGUUCUUGUUCAUGGUAUCUUGGCUAGCACAGCGGACUGGACUUAUGCAGAAGCAGAGUUGAAAAGGCGCCUUGGAAAAAACUUUUUAAUAUAUGUAAGUUCAUCAAAUACUUACACGAAGACAUUUACUGGGAUUGAUGGAGCUGGAAAACGAUUAGCUGAUGAAGUCUUGCAAGUUGUUAAAAAGACACGUAGCCUGAAAAAAAUCUCCUUUCUAUCCCACUCUUUGGGAGGCUUGUUUGCUAGAUAUGCAAUUGCUGUCCUCUAUUCACCUGAUGCCUAUAGUAGGGACCAAACAAGUGAUCUAGCAAUCAGCAUGACAGAAAAUUCCCUGGGAACAAGCUUUUCCAGAGGAGGGAUGAUCGCUGGGUUGGAGCCAAUCAAUUUUAUAACUCUAGCAACUCCACAUCUUGGCGUAAGAGGAAAGAAUCAGCUUCCAUUUUUGUUGGGUGUCUCAAUCCUAGAAAAGCUUGCUGCACCUAUAGCUCCUUUUUUUGUUGGCCAGACAGGUAGUCAGUUGUUCCUCACUGAUGGUAAACCUGACAAACCACCUCUUUUAUUGAGAAUGGCUUCUGAUUGUGAAGAUGGAAAGUUUCUAUCUGCACUUGGAGCAUUUAGAUGUCGCAUGAUUUAUGCUAAUGUUUCAUAUGAUCAUAUGGUUGGGUGGCGCACAUCCUCUAUAAGGAGGGAAACUGAGCUCAGUAAGCCUCCUCGACAAUCUUUAGAUGGAUACAAGCACGUGGUUGAUGUGGAAUAUUGUCCCCCAGUUCCGUCUGAUGGUCCUCAAUUUCCUCCAAAAGCAGUGAAAGCAAAGGAAGCAGCACAAAAUGCGCCCAAUUCCCAUAAUACUGUGGAAUAUCAUGAAAUUAUAGAAGAUGAAAUCAUUCGGGGAUUACAGCAGUUGGGAUGGAAAAAAGUUGAUGUCAGCUUUCAUUCAGCAUUUUGGCCAUUCUUCGCACAUAACAACAUUCAUGUGAAAAAUGAAUGGCUUCACAAUGCUGGUGUAGGAGUAAUUGCUCAUGUGGCUGACAGCUUAAGACACCAAGAAGCAUCAUCAGUUUUUUCUGCUAGCUUGUAACUAGUUCGCAACUUUCAGAACACAUUGUUCGAGGCAAAAGGAAGAUAAAAAUGGAUGCUUUUUUGUUUGAUCAGAUGGCUUCAUGGAAGUAAUUGAAUCUGUAGUCUCUUCAGUCUGCAGCGGUUUUAUGUACAUGUUGCCUGGCCUGUUGUUUGCUAGUUCGAACCUUACCUAGGUAGCAGCAUGACAAUGCUACCAACAAAGUCCACACAAUCCCAAAAAUUCUAUUGCAUUCAAGAAAAAUUAUGCCUUUGUUAACUGGAAAAGUUCAUAAAUGUACACUUACCUAAGUUUUUAAUUAUCGAAGUCCACAAGGCAAUCAUUCCAAAACCAUCCUUGUGCAUGGGAAUUCAUUCACCCAAAGUAAAUAUAUGUACUUAACUUGUUCAUACCAUUGAUGUUAAAUGAGUAUAUGAUCAUUGUGGUCUUUAAUUA
This is an RNA transcript of Cajanus cajan (pigeon pea), 3183 nucleotides long. It is a transcript of the gene named Hydrolase-like protein family, with no coding region annotated. Lineage: Eukaryota; Viridiplantae; Streptophyta; Magnoliopsida; Fabales; Fabaceae. The record is from RefSeq and is a predicted model, not a curated record.